UACGAAGGGAGCUAGCGUUGUUCGGAAUUACUGGGCGUAAAGCGCACGUAGGCGGAUUGCUAAGUCAGGGGUGAAAUCCCGGGGCUCAACCUCGGAGCUGCCUUUGAUACUGACAAUCUCGAGUCCGAUAGAGGUGGGUGGAAUUCCUAGUGUAGAGGUGAAAUUCGUAGAUAUUAGGAAGAACACCGGUGGCGAAGGCGGCCCACUGGAUCGGUACUGACGCUGAGGUGCGAAAGCGUGGGGAGCAAACAGG
This 253-nucleotide ribosomal RNA is filed under the name uncultured bacterium. Its description in RNAcentral is "partial 16S ribosomal RNA". It matches the Rfam family "Bacterial small subunit ribosomal RNA", at positions 524 to 776 of the family's 1533-position model. The record is from RNAcentral.